This 512-nucleotide ribosomal RNA is filed under the name uncultured bacterium. RNAcentral's name for it is "partial 16S ribosomal RNA". It matches the Rfam family "Bacterial small subunit ribosomal RNA", at positions 28 to 523 of the family's 1533-position model. The record is from RNAcentral.
GACGAACGCUGGCGGCGUGCCUAAUACAUGCAAGUCGAGCGAAUCAAUAGGAGCUUGCUCCUGUUGGUUAGCGGCGGACGGGUGAGUAACACGUGGGCAACCUGCCUGUAGGACUGGGAUAACAUCGGGAAACCGAUGCUAAUACCGGAUAAUUCAUUCCCUCUCAUGAGGGAAUGUUGAAAGUCGGUUUCGGCUGACACUUACAGAUGGUCCCGCGGCGCAUUAGCUAGUUGGUGAGGUAACGGCUCACCAAGGCGACGAUGCGUAGCCGACCUGAGAGGGUGAUCGGCCACACUGGGACUGAGACACGGCCCAGACUCCUACGGGAGGCAGCAGUAGGGAAUCUUCCACAAUGGACGAAAGUCUGAUGGAGCAACGCCGCGUGAGCGAUGAAGGCCUUCGGGUCGUAAAGCUCUGUUGUUAGGGAAGAACAUGUACCGGAGUAACUGCCGGUACCUUGACGGUACCUAACCAGAAAGCCACGGCUAACUACGUGCCAGCCGCCGCAGUAA